This 253-nucleotide ribosomal RNA is filed under the name uncultured bacterium. RNAcentral describes it as "partial 16S ribosomal RNA". It matches the Rfam family "Bacterial small subunit ribosomal RNA", at positions 524 to 776 of the family's 1533-position model. The record is from RNAcentral.
UACAGAGGUCUCAAGCGUUGUUCGGAAUCAUUGGGCGUAAAGGGUGCGUAGGCGGCGCGGUAAGUCGGGUGUGAAAUCUUGGAGCUUAACUCCGAAACUGCAUUCGAUACUGCCGUGCUUGAGGACUGGAGAGGAGACUGGAAUUUACGGUGUAGCGGUGAAAUGCGUAGAUAUCGUAAGGUAGACCAGUGGCGAAGGCGGGUCUCUGGACAGUUCCUGACGCUGAGGCACGAAGGCCAGGGGAGCAAACGGG